Long non-coding RNA from Lolium perenne, 914 nucleotides. RefSeq lists it as uncharacterized. The record is from RefSeq and is a predicted model, not a curated record. Lineage: Eukaryota; Viridiplantae; Streptophyta; Magnoliopsida; Poales; Poaceae.
GCCUUGAUCUAUUCACAUGGAUGUUGUGCAUCUCUCUCUUUGUUCAUUUUUGAGUAGAAUACGGAGGAGCCGGCCAUGGCAAGAAUUUCGGCCAGCUAUUGUCCUUCUUACUUUCUUCCUCCACAAGCAUUGCCUCCCACCUAACCCAAUCAAUAAAUGGGCAGCCACCUCCCUUGGCCAAUGAAAAAAGGAGGCAGCCACCAUCCUCCCUCUAUUUAAAGAGCUUGGCCGGCCACCACCUCCACCUUUGGCCCUCAUUUUUCUUCUCCCACUCCCUCACACUCUUCUCCUCCACCUCCCCACGAGCUGCUGCUCCUCCCAAGCUCCAUGGCCGGCCAUGGCCAUGGAAACCUCUCCAAGAUGCAACUCCCUCCUCUCCCAAGCUUCCCCUCACCAUGAGAGCUUCCCUCUCACUCUCUUCUCCCCUAACCCUAGAUGAAUCCAGCCCUAUUCCUCAUUUCUCCUCUCACAAUAUUGGAUCUUGAUGCAGGUGCAUGUUGGUCCAAGCAUGGAGAAGGUUGAGCUAUCCUCAGAUCUGAAGUUCUUGAGCAAAAUCCAAAUCGAGUGAUUCAAAGUUCCGCAGAUAGAUACGGAAAAUAUCUAUAACUUGGCGUUGGUCUCAUCCUCAAAUUCGGUACGGAUUUUGCAAGAUCAAGAUCUGGUCAGAUCUGACUUUGUCGAAUUAAACCAGGAGCUUGGAGACGAAUUUUUGAAUGAAACCAACUGGGGGAUACUUAUUUUGUGCCAUGGUGAUACCUAGAGAGGCAAUUGCUAAGUCGUGGCACUCUCAUACCUUUACUAGAUGCGAACAAUUCCGGAGAAGAAAAAGAAGUGGAAUCGGACAAGGAUUUUAUUUAUGUUGUUGGGAUUCUUAUAUUGAUGAAGUUGAAGAAGUACAGGGACAAAUAAGCCAA